GGACCCGCACAAGCGGUGGAGCAUGUGGUUUAAUUCGAAGCAACGCGAAGAACCUUACCAAGUCUUGACAUCCUUUUGACGAUACCUUAACCGGUAUUUCCCUUCGGGGCAGAAGUGACAGGUGGUGCAUGGUUGUCGUCAGCUCGUGUCGUGAGAUGUUGGGUUAAGUCCCGCAACGAGCGCAACCCUUGUCUUUAGUAGCCAGCAAGUUAAGUUGGGCACUCUAGAGAGACUGCCAGGGAUAACCUGGAGGAAGGUGGGGAUGACGUCAAAUCAUCAUGCCCCUUAUGAUUUGGGCUACACACGUGCUACAAUGGCGUAAACAAAGAGAGGCAAGCCCGCGAGGGGGAGCAAAUCUCAAAAAUAACGUCUCAGUUCGGAUUGUAGUCUGCAACUCGACUACAUGAAGCUGGAAUCGCUAGUAAUCGCGAAUCAGAAUGUCGCGGUGAAUACGUUCCCGGGUCUU
Molecule: ribosomal RNA, 466 nt
Filed under: uncultured bacterium
Lineage: Bacteria
Description: bacterial SSU rRNA
Rfam family: Bacterial small subunit ribosomal RNA
Source: RNAcentral